Gavialis gangeticus (Gharial) is the source of this 433-nucleotide long non-coding RNA. RefSeq lists it as uncharacterized. The transcript has 3 exons. The record is from RefSeq and is a predicted model, not a curated record. Lineage: Eukaryota; Metazoa; Chordata; Crocodylia; Gavialidae.
AAAAGUGUUGCACCUGGGAUGUUUGGGUAUGAUGUGAGGCCUCUUGCAGUGCUACAGUUGCUGGUGCUGCUGCCCUGCCACAGAGGAGAUCUGUCUGAUGGGCCGGGGAGCUGAGCAGGUCAUCUUCCCAUGACUGGGACUGCCAGCUGCAGCCCCAUGGAGCCAAAGUGGAGGCAGCAGGACCCUGCAGCGAGCAGCCAGCAAGUACUGCCAGAAAGGAUCCAUUGCCCUGCAUCCACCACAGGACUCCUCCAGGGCCUGACUUGCAACGAACUACAUGCAGAAUGGUGCUCUGAAUUCAAAGAGCUGAAAAAGCUCAAGACUUCAUCUUGAGUAGUGUAGGUCUCAGAAUGACCUUUGAUUUAAAAGAAGUCAUCCCACUUGGCUCAAGGAAAAAGAAUCUGGACUUCGAUGAGGUGAGAUGGGGCUUGUG